GCAGGCUUAACACAUGCAAGUCGAGGGGCAGCAUGGUCUUAGCUUGCUAAGGCCGAUGGCGACCGGCGCACGGGUGAGUAACACGUAUCCAACCUGCCGUCUACUCUUGGACAGCCUUCUGAAAGGAAGAUUAAUACAAGAUGGCAUCAUGAGUCCACAUGUUCACAUGAUUAAAGGUAUUCCGGUAGACGAUGGGGAUGCGUUCCAUUAGAUAGUAGGCGGGGUAACGGCCCACCUAGUCUUCGAUGGAUAGGGGUUCUGAGAGGAAGGUCCCCCACAUUGGAACUGAGACACGGUCCAAACUCCUACGGGAGGCAGCAGUGAGGAAUAUUGGUCAAUGGGCGAGAGCCUGAACCAGCCAAGUAGCGUGAAGGAUGACUGCCCUAUGGGUUGUAAACUUCUUUUAUAAAGGAAUAAAGUCGGGUAUGGAUACCCGUUUGCAUGUACUUUAUGAAUAAGGAUCGGCUAACUCCGUGCCAGCAGCCGCGGUAAUACGGAGGAUCCGAGCGUUAUCCGGAUUUAUUGGGUUUAAAGGGAGCGUAGAUGGAUGUUUAAGUCAGUUGUGAAAGUUUGCGGCUCAACCGUAAAAUUGCAGUUGAUACUGGAUAUCUUGAGUGCAGUUGAGGCAGGCGGAAUUCGUGGUGUAGCGGUGAAAUGCUUAGAUAUCACGAAGAACUCCGAUUGCGAAGGCAGCCUGCUAAGCUGCAACUGACAUUGAGGCUCGAAAGUGUGGGUAUCAAACAGGAUUAGAUACCCUGGUAGUCCACACGGUAAACGAUGAAUACUCGCUGUUUGCGAUAUACAGCAAGCGGCCAAGCGAAAGCGUUAAGUAUUCCACCUGGGGAGUACGCCGGCAACGGUGAAACUCAAAGGAAUUGACGGGGGCCCGCACAAGCGGAGGAACAUGUGGUUUAAUUCGAUGAUACGCGAGGAACCUUACCCGGGCUUAAAUUGCAGAUGAAUUACGGUGAAAGCCGUAAGCCGCAAGACAUCUGUGAAGGUGCUGCAUGGUUGUCGUCAGCUCGUGCCGUGAGGUGUCGGCUUAAGUGCCAUAACGAGCGCAACCCUUGUUGUCAGUUACUAACAGGUUCCGCUGAGGACUCUGACAAGACUGCCAUCGUAAGAUGUGAGGAAGGUGGGGAUGACGUCAAAUCAGCACGGCCCUUACGUCCGGGGCUACACACGUGUUACAAUGGGGGGUACAGAGGGCCGCUACCACGCGAGUGGAUGCCAAUCCCAAAAACCUCUCUCAGUUCGGACUGGAGUCUGCAACCCGACUCCACGAAGCUGGAUUCGCUAGUAAUCGCGCAUCAGCCACGGCGCGGUGAAUACGUUCCCGGGCCUUGUACACACCGCCCGUCAAGCCAUGGGAGCCGGGGGUACCUGAAGUGCGUAACCGCGAGGAGCGCCCUAGGGUAAAACUGGUGACUGGGGCUAAGUCAUAACAA
This 1448-nucleotide ribosomal RNA is filed under the name uncultured organism. Its description in RNAcentral is "16S ribosomal RNA". It matches the Rfam family "Bacterial small subunit ribosomal RNA". The record is from RNAcentral.